UACGGGGGGAGCAAGCGUUGUUCGGAUUUACUGGGCGUAAAGGGCGCGUAGGCGGUCAGCACAAGUCAGUUGUGAAAUCUCCGGGCUUAACCCGGAGCGGCCAAGUGAUACUGUCGUGCUAGAGUGCGGAAGGGACUACUGGAAUUCUCGGUGUAGCGGUGAAAUGCGUAGAUAUCGAGAGGAACACCUGCGGCGAAGGCGGGUAGCUGGGCCGACACUGACGCUGAUGCGCGAAAGCCAGGGGAGCGAACGGG
This 254-nucleotide ribosomal RNA is filed under the name uncultured bacterium. RNAcentral's name for it is "partial 16S ribosomal RNA". It matches the Rfam family "Bacterial small subunit ribosomal RNA", at positions 524 to 776 of the family's 1533-position model. The record is from RNAcentral.